Molecule: non-coding RNA, 210 nt
Organism: Schizosaccharomyces pombe (fission yeast)
Lineage: Eukaryota; Fungi; Ascomycota; Schizosaccharomycetes; Schizosaccharomycetales; Schizosaccharomycetaceae
Source: the annotation of a GenBank genome assembly
AAGUAAUGUUUACAAUUAAAUUCAAAAAUUUCGUUACACAUACGAUUCGAAAAUGGGGUGCUGCUGUAAAAGAACGAGACGUAAACUCUUAUACUUAAAAAAAUAAAAUAAAAUCUAAUUUGUUUUUUUUAAAGUUUCAUACCUUGCUUUUGUCAAUAUUAUUCCAAUACCCUUGCAUACUGCUUUUGCUCAAUAAUAUUUUAAAUCGAA